This 222-nucleotide non-coding RNA is filed under the name Bacillus sp. (in: firmicutes). RNAcentral describes it as "Bacillus sp. T-box sequence". It matches the Rfam family "T-box leader". From Rfam's summary of the family: Uncharged tRNA acts as the effector for transcription antitermination of genes in the T-box leader family. Lineage: Bacteria; Bacillati; Bacillota; Bacilli; Caryophanales; Bacillaceae. The record is from RNAcentral.
GACUCGACGAUGACAGGGAAAGUAGUCUGAAUGAACCCUUUACGAAGCGAACCGGGGAUGGUGGGAGCCCGGCUAAAGAAUUCAGAUGAAGAUCACCCUUGAGUUCCUUCCUGAAAUGAACGAGUAAGGAGGGCGCCUCAUUCCCGAUAAGAAUGCUUAAGUGGAUGUGUUUUUGCAUCUAUAAGGGUGGUACCGCGUGAAGCAAGCCUUCUCGUCCCUUUC